CGCCAGCAGCCGCGGUAAUACGGAGGAUGCAAGCGUUAUCCGGAAUGAUUGGGCGUAAAGGGUCCGCAGGUGGCAGUGUAAGUCUGCUGUUAAAGAGUCUAGCUCAACUAGAUAAAAGCAGUGGAAACUACACAGCUAGAGUAUGGUCGGGGCAGAAGGAAUUCCUGGUGUAGCGGUGAAAUGCGUAGAUAUCAGGAAGAACACCGGUGGCGAAAGCGUUCUGCUAGGCCGAGACUGACACUGAGGGACGAAAGCUAGGGGAGCGAAUGGGAUUAGAUACCCCAGUAGUCCUAGCCGUAAACGAUGGAUACUAGGCGUGGCUCGUAUCGACCCGAGCCGUGCCGGAGCUAACGCGUUAAGUAUCCCGCCUGGGGAGUACGCAGGCAACUGUGAAACUCAAAGGAAUUGACGGGGGCCCGCACAAGU
RNAcentral lists this ribosomal RNA (426 nucleotides) under uncultured bacterium. RNAcentral describes it as "bacterial SSU rRNA". It matches the Rfam family "Bacterial small subunit ribosomal RNA", at positions 506 to 930 of the family's 1533-position model. The record is from RNAcentral.